This 1249-nucleotide ribosomal RNA is filed under the name uncultured Gammaproteobacteria bacterium. RNAcentral describes it as "bacterial SSU rRNA". It matches the Rfam family "Bacterial small subunit ribosomal RNA", at positions 9 to 1252 of the family's 1533-position model. Lineage: Bacteria; Pseudomonadati; Pseudomonadota; Gammaproteobacteria. The record is from RNAcentral.
GAGUUUGAUCCUGGCUCAGAUUGAACGCUGGCGGCAGGCUUAACACAUGCAAGUCGAACGGUAACAUGAGUGCUUGCACUUGAUGACGAGUGGCGGACGGGUGAGUAAAGUAUGGGGAUCUGCCGAAUGGAGGGGGACAACGGUUGGAAACGACUGCUAAUACCGCAUAAUGUUGAGAAACCAAAGCAUGGGACUUUCGGGCCAUGCGCCAUUUGAUGAACCCAUAUGGGAUUAGCUAGUUGGUAGGGUAAAGGCUUACCAAGGCGACGAUCUCUAGCUGGUCUGAGAGGAUGACCAGCCACACUGGAACUGAGACACGGUCCAGACUCCUACGGGAGGCAGCAGUGGGGAAUAUUGCACAAUGGGGGGAACCCUGAUGCAGCCAUGCCGCGUGUAUGAAGAAGGCCUUCGGGUUGUAAAGUACUUUCGGUAAUGAGGAAAGGGGCGUAUCUAAUAGGUACGUUAAUUGACGUUAAUUACAGAAGAAGCACCGGCUAACUCCGUGCCAGCAGCCGCGGUAAUACGGAGGGUGCGAGCGUUAAUCGGAAUGACUGGGCGUAAAGGGCAUGUAGGCGGAUAAUUAAGUUAGGUGUGAAAGCCCUGGGCUCAACCUAGGAAUUGCACUUAAAACUGGUUAACUAGAGUAUUGUAGAGGAAGGUAGAAUUCCACGUGUAGCGGUGAAAUGCGUAGAGAUGUGGAGGAAUACCGGUGGCGAAGGCGGCCUUCUGGACAGAUACUGACGCUGAGAUGCGAAAGCGUGGGGAGCAAACAGGAUUAGAUACCCUGGUAGUCCACGCUGUAAACGAUGUCGAUUUGGAGUUUGUUGCCUUGAGUGAUGGGCUCCGAAGCUAACGCGAUAAAUCGACCGCCUGGGGAGUACGGCCGCAAGGUUAAAACUCAAAUGAAUUGACGGGGGCCCGCACAAGCGGUGGAGCAUGUGGUUUAAUUCGAUGCAACGCGAAGAACCUUACCUGGUCUUGACAUCCACAGAAUCUUGCAGAGAUGCGGGAGUGCCUUCGGGAACUGUGAGACAGGUGCUGCAUGGCUGUCGUCAGCUCGUGUUGUGAAAUGUUGGGUUAAGUCCCGCAACGAGCGCAACCCUUAUCCUUUGUUGCCAUCGGUUUGGCCGGGAACUCAAAGGAGACUGCCGUUGAUAAAGCGGAGGAAGGUGGGGACGACGUCAAGUCAUCAUGGCCCUUACGACCAGGGCUACACACGUGCUACAAUGGCGUAUACAAAGGGAGGCGA